GUAGCCACGUUAACUUUAUCUGUAACUGUACCGAUAGUCAUAGCAAAGACUGUUUGUUCCUUUCAAACACAGAGUUACAUAGAAGCAGUACCAAGUUCAUGUUAUGUGUUGCUGAGAGAUAUGUUAAUAUAAGAGAAACUUUAAAGAAACUGGGAAGAUAUAUAUUUUGACAUUUAAGUUUUGUCAUUUACAUGGUGUUAAAAUGCAUGUGAACAUUUAUUUUGUGCUUGCCAUGGGACUUUUAUUUAUUGUUCGAAAAAAAAAAGAGAGAGACUUUUACAUGUUCGGUCUGGGUUUUUUUCCGGGGAGAAGACGAAAAGGGGCGGGGGCUAAAAGAGAGCGCGGAGGAGAAGAGCAGGGAGAGAGGAGAGAGGGAGAGAAAGGGAGAGAGAGCGAAGAUUGUGGCUGAAGAGGGACUUGUUUCAUGGAUUCCACUGGACAACUGUAAAGAGUGAGAACCAGGGAGGGCUUGUGUGAAAGAGAUUGGAACUCAUCUGUGCUUUUGGGGUGCUCGUCACUGCGUGCUGCCACCCAUAGCAACUUGAUCGGAAGGAGGAGUUGAGCAGCCAGGUGUAGAAGCAGUGUUAAAGCCCGUCGCUGGUGUUUAUUCUGGUCGGUAUUUUUCGGGGAUUAUUUUUUUUGUUUGUUUUUCUCUCCACCGGACCACCAUUUUGGGAUAUUCAAUCUUCAGACUGAACUACUCAGAGCGAGGACAUCACGGAAUACAGACGACCCACGUUGGCUCCUCAACUGGCUCAGUUACCUCCAAAAACCGUUCUGAACUUGGAGUGCGAGUGUUGUCCCACGUGACAACAGAAGCCAGUUAAGGAGCUUCUCCAGAUAGCUGCACAUCUCUCAGUACCCUGAUAAGAUUCAACAAAUUUCCUCACUAGGAGUGCCGGUAUAAGACUCAUCGAGGUAAAAAUGUCACGAAGUCUGUCAGAUCAGGAUCCAUAUUUGAAAGGAGCAAGAUCCGUCUACAAAGUUGGAUGCAGUUUAUAUACAGGUUUGCACAGGGAUUAAAGCUGCGACAAAUCGAUCUAAUUCAAGAUGGUGUUUCUAGAAGCACACGUACGCUGUCCAAAAUGAGUAAAAAAACUGCGAAUGAUCUGCAAAAGAGCAUUAAAGCGAAAAAGGAGAAGCACAGGACAACACCUGGGAGGACACAGGGAGUUUGUAGUAAUAGACGAAAGUAACUUCUGCCACAAACGCAAGGUAAGAUGCUGUGUUUAGUGCUUUUUUGUAAAAUAAAUAUUGGCAUUUUCAGCUCUUAUUUUAAGUUUACGGUCGGGCUGCACAAUAUGUCGUUUAAGCCUCGUCAUUGCGAUGUGCCCAUGCGCAAUAGUCACAUCGCGGGACAUGCAAUGUUACCCAAGUCAAUAAAAACCAACAUGUCAUGUUGCAAUGUUUUGAUUCUUGACACAAGAAAUAGAUACUCAGCAUUCUGGGGUUGGGGAGGGGGGA
Molecule: long non-coding RNA, 1464 nt
Organism: Astyanax mexicanus (Mexican tetra)
Lineage: Eukaryota; Metazoa; Chordata; Actinopteri; Characiformes; Acestrorhamphidae
Exons: 4
Source: RefSeq, a predicted model, not a curated record